UACAGAGGGGGCAAGCGUUGUUCGGAAUUACUGGGCGUAAAGGGCGCGUAGGCGGCCGCCUAAGUCAGACGUGAAAUCCCUCGGCUCAACCGGGGAACUGCGUCUGAUACUGGGUGGCUUGAAUUCGGGAGAGGGAUGCGGAAUUCCAGGUGUAGCGGUGAAAUGCGUAGAUAUCUGGAGGAACACCGGUGGCGAAGGCGGCAUCCUGGACCGAGAUUGACGCUGAGUGAGCGAAAGCCAGGGGAGCAAACGGGAUUAAGAUGACCCCGGU
RNAcentral lists this ribosomal RNA (271 nucleotides) under uncultured bacterium. Its description in RNAcentral is "partial 16S ribosomal RNA". It matches the Rfam family "Bacterial small subunit ribosomal RNA", at positions 524 to 791 of the family's 1533-position model. The record is from RNAcentral.